CGCGCGUGUAGGCUCCGUCAUGAGCCCGACUGCGCCUCCUCCCACCGCCUUUCCAUCCGACGUCGGCAAGCUGGUUGCGGCGGGCCCGCUUUUGCUGGCCUACAGCGGCGAAUCGGCCACCCGAUCUGGGCAUCGAUGAUGCCGCUGCCUCUGCUCCCCUCUUCCUGGUGCAGGGCGAAGACGCAAUGGUGGUGGCGAACGUGCGGUUUAUGGGACUUGCGGCGGUGCCCUUCUCCGUGGCCUCGCCCUCCUGCGCGGGCGCAUCCUCUGCUCUGCGCCACCCGGACAGCCAGUUCUGCAGCUCGUCAGCGCGCUCUAAUGCGUGCUCAGCAACUUCCGUGUACGCCUCCCGACCUCCACGACGCGCUCCACGGCUUCGCAGGGCGUGACGGACCCUCUGCUCGCAUCCUCAUUCGACGUCGUGCUCUGGGGCAAGGGGCUCCCGGAGUCCGUGCUCGCCGCCGCUGGUAAGACAGUCCUCCAUGUCUAUCCCAGUCUGUUCUACGGCUCCCUCUAUUCCUCCAUCCUGCUCUCCUCCUUCCUGUCCUUCCUCUCCCUGACCCUUCUCCGUCUUCAUUGACCGCGGUGGCGGCGGCGGCGGCCGGCUCCUAUUCGUACACCGUCGUCGAUCUACACCGUCGCGGCGUGUACUCGGAUUUCGCGACCUUGCCGACCAGCCCCUUAUGCUGCCCCCUUGGACUCUGAUCAGCAUCCCAUUCACGGAUAGGAAUUUGGAAGGGGAAGAGAGGAUAGAUAUAUGUCCAUUUAACUUCACAGUGCUCAGUGAAAUUAUUAUGGAGUGACUAAGACUACAAUACAAGCAAGCUCACCAAUGACCAAACUGCGAAGGCAUUCUAAUUAAUCUGAGCAAGAUCUCACUGUUGGAUCUGCGAAAAAAAAAACACAGUUUCUCCUCUAAUAAAGGGUGUGCCUGGACAAGUCAACAAGAAUAACCAAGCAGCUUAAGGUAUUCUAAGAGGUAAGGGUCAUCUUGGCCUGUCCCUUUCCUUUAGGAGGUCCCUGUACUACUGCACUAAACAAAGAUUGGAUAUGGUUGCCCUUUUCAAUUUAGAAAUCAAUGUACGGUUCGUUCUUCACUGGAUUCAUACAACUGCAUCGGCCCAUGCUUGAAGAUCUAACUUCAUUUGAUUGCUGCGCAUUUUCUCUGUUAGUACUCCACCUCUAUUAUGCUUCCUCAUAUACUCUUGUGUCUCUAUUGAUCUAAUGAAAGGCUGCAGAUUCAUGUAUUGGUUGAUUCGCCUUUCAUGGGAAAGUUUAACUUUUGGUAUAUAUUGCCAUGUCUAAACUUUAUUGGUCUGUUUUUUUUAUUAUGCAUGUUCUGCCAUGUAAAAGCAAAUUUGAUUUGUUUACAGCUUUACUGCGAUUGGACUAUGAGGCUUCUUAUGGCCAUUGAAAUCAGAUUUCCUUAUCAGUUUGAUGGGGUGUCAUCGGGUCCAGAUGAUUUAGUAAUUGUCAUAGCGAUUUGCUCCUGCUGCAUCCACAUUUAAUAGCGCGCUCUAUAUAACUGAUCAGCAGAAAGGUAUGAUCCAAGGGAAGGUUUCUGGGCGCUGCUUCCAAGUAUGAGCGUGAGAAGAGGAUCCCACUGACCCACUCGGUAGCUGUCUUGGGGGAUGCCCCGUAUGAUGUGGGAGGGUAUGAUGGAAGCAACAUGAUAUCUAACGUAGAGAUUUUUGACCUGUGCACUAAUUCAUGGAGAAUAUGCAGCCCAUUACAGGUUACAAUGGACGAUAAUUUGUUCUACAUUGGCGGGCACACAUACAUCCUGCCAGCGACUGCAUUUCAACCGUCCCUGAUCCAAGUAUGAACACAGGGAAAACUGUUCUCAUGCCGGCAUUUUCCAAACUACUUAAUGCAGCUAUGUAACAUGGCCAGUUCCACCUAAAUACAAUGUCUGUUAAGUUAGUGAACCCUCCUAUUCUCCUACAGCUCCUUAGCUAUCCCAAUUGGAGAUUUAAAUUGUAAUAUAACAACUGCUCCUGUCAAAUACUUCUAUAUGUAUCAUCUGUAGUAGUUUAUCCAUAAACUAUUUAUCACUCU
Molecule: long non-coding RNA, 2058 nt
Organism: Panicum virgatum (switchgrass)
Lineage: Eukaryota; Viridiplantae; Streptophyta; Magnoliopsida; Poales; Poaceae
Exons: 7
Source: RefSeq, a predicted model, not a curated record